Non-coding RNA from Caenorhabditis elegans, 1512 nucleotides. NCBI's taxonomy places the organism in Eukaryota, Metazoa, Nematoda, Chromadorea, Rhabditida, Rhabditidae. The record is from Ensembl.
CAGGCACACAUCGGAUCCAGUUUGCUUGGUGGUUUUGGUGUGCACCUUUUGGUGCUCCAGCACUGUUCGGCAAGGAUUCGUGAUGUCUUUUGAGCUACUUUCUUCCAUUGAAGCACUUCAAGCUUCAUAGCUAUUACGGUCACUUCCAUUCUUUUCUUCAAUUUCUGACUUGCCAAACAUCAAUUGCCUUCGCUGAAUGCAAAUUAUUCUGCCGAAAGCUAUCUUGCCAUGCCAUCAACUUCCAUUUUCGUGUGUUUUCGGACAAUCUGGAGCUGGUCUUCAAUCCGCCAAGAAGCUCGAUAAGGAACCCGCCACAUCUGCAGUCGUCGAUUAGAUUGGUUUGCCACAUUCAUCCAUUUUUUCUUUUCUCCUUUUCAAUUUCCUUUUCUCCAAUUUUCUAGUAGCUUUCACAUCUAUUGAGUAGUUGAGUUCAGAAAAUGUUGUGCUUUGAGUGCUUUCAUGCUCGAGCUACACUUCCGGUCAUACGGUGGACCAUAUGGAGGUUCAAUUGAGUUGGUUAGCACUCAUCUCACCAUUAGAAUCAGCUUCUCGGUAUUAUUCUUUUUUUGCCUGAGACUGAGAAAUUUCAAAAUCAACACAAAAUAAGUUUUGCAUCAUUUCUAACUGUGAGCCAUCUGAACGCUGGCAUCCCAACGCACACUUCCGGUCAUACGGUGGACCAAAUGGAGGUUCCCUUUGGGUGGCCAGCGUUCAUAUCGCUACUACCAAAAUUUUCGAACUUUUUUGAAAGGAUUAUUUCAAAAAAUUGUAAUUUUGUUAAUUAUUUAUCAAGUUAAAAGAUUGGGUUUGGACACAGAAGAGACCCUUGCUUCCGGUCAUACGGUGGACCAAAUGGAAGUUGGUCAUAAUGCUUCUGUGCCCAUUCUUCAUCGCUACUUGAAGUACUUCACAAAAUUACAAUCAAUUUGAAUUUUCCGAGUUGGUUUUUUGAUUUUUCUUGCUCUCGGAAGACUAUUUCAUAAUUCUAAGUCAUUGAUUUAGCUUCUCUAUACUUUAAUUGGCCUUUUUCUAGGUUUUGUAAAUUUGACAGGUUUCAUGAGAAUACUCUAGCUACUAUUGUUAGUCAGUGCGCCAAGCGCAUUUCGACAAAAUAUCUUGACAAUUAGCCAGUGAAUUCUCUUGAAUUCUUUUGCCCCUGCUUUCGUGUCAAAAUUGUCCGAAAAUGUACAAAAAAAAUUGACAAAAUUUGCCUCCGAAAAUUUCUCAGGCAGUUGAUCUGCACAAAAAAACUUCAAAAUGUUCUCAUUUUUCUUCCUUUUUUUGCCUUCAAUUGUUGUCACUAUGACACAAAUUUAACUUAUCGGUUCUUCUUUCAAAUGCUUUGUUGUUUCAUUUUUCUUUUUUCUCCUAUCAUUUGAUUGUACCAGUGUUGCUAAUUUGUUUGUAUAUUAUUACUGGUUUCUUAUUCUAAUUAAUAUGAGAAUAUUGAAAAAACAAAAAAAAGUGUUCACAAAAAAACGAGUAAAUAAAUGAUUUUUCAAUUCUACACAA